CCCGCCUGUGGGGACCUACGGGCUUCCUGCUCAGAGAGAGGCAGAUGAGCCCCACGUUGCUACCGCGGUCGUCCAUCCCGUGCUCUUGUCUGUGCCGGCAGCUGGCAGGGGACGCUGCGGCCGCCGUGCAUGAUGGAUCAUGAGGCGCAGUCACGGAUGUUUAUCCUCCAGUGACCUUGUCUCUCUUGUGGCUGCUGAGGAGAUGCACAUGGGGCGUGAUCAUUCGUAUUGAUCAAUGUGCUGCUCAUUUGCCACGUCGUCAAUGUUUUCACACAGGGUCCACUUUACUCUUCCAGGCAGGAAAGCGGCUGCACCGACCUGCUCUGCGGCCAGGAAGGAGGGGACAGAGUCGACUCCCAGGGGGCCUGGGGGGAGCGGGAGUCUGCUCUGGCUCAGGAAGGCUCUAGAAGGGCCACCAAGAGCAGCCGCAACAGUGCACAAGGACCUUGUGAUGAGAGCUACCUGAGCGAGUCCCACCCUGAUCAGACGCACCGUGUAGGGGGAGCCGGGGCCCCAUUGCAGCUGCCUCGGGGAAGCAGUGACCACAGGCCCGGCUGAACCUGAUGGUGACGGGGAAGGGAGGGACUGGUGUGCACACAGGUGUCCAUGUGCCUGUAUGUAUGCAGGUGUGUGUGUGACACACACAUACAUGUGAUAUAUGCAGGCGUGUGUGAGACACACAUACCUGUGGUGUAUGCAGCUGUGUGAGACACAUACAUGUGAUAUAUGCAGGCGUGUGAGAUACACAUACAUGUGACAUAUGCAGGCGUGUGAGAUA
RNAcentral lists this long non-coding RNA (778 nucleotides) under Pan troglodytes (chimpanzee). Its description in RNAcentral is "long non-coding RNA NONPTRT006446". The record is from RNAcentral. Lineage: Eukaryota; Metazoa; Chordata; Mammalia; Primates; Hominidae.